CCUUUCGGGGUCCGAGUUGUAAUUUGUAGAGAGUGUUUCGGGUGAGACCACGGNUCUAAGUCCAUUGGAACAUGGCGUCAUAGAGGGUGAGAAUCCCGUAUGUGACUGUGGAUCGAGCCCAUGUGAAGCCUCUUCGACGAGUCGAGUUGUUUGGGAAUGCAGCUCAAAAUGGGUGGUAAAUUUCAUCUAAAGCUAAAUACUGGCUGGAGACCGAUAGCGCACAAGUAGAGUGAUCGAAAGAUGAAAAGCACUUUGGAAAGAGAGUCAAACAGUACGUGAAAUUGUUGAAAGGGAAGCGCUUGCAACCAGACCUGUCCGUAGGUGAUCAGCCGCUGUUCUCAGUGGUGCACUCGCUCUGCGAUCAGGCCAGCAUCGGUUCGGGCGGUCGGAUAAAGGCCUUGGGAAUGUAGCUCCCUUCGGGGAGUCUUAUAGCCCUCGGUGCAAUGCGGCCAGCCGGGACCGAGGACCGCGCUUCGGCUAGGAUGCUGGCGUAAUGGUUGUAAGCGACCCGUCUUGAAACACGGACCAAGGAGUCUAACAUCUAUGCGAGUGUUUGGGUGUUAAACCCAUGCGCGGAAUGAAAGUGAACGGAGGUGAGAACCCUUAAGGGCGCAUCAUCGACCGAUCCAGAUGUCUUCGGAUGGAUUUGAGUAUGAGCAUAGCUGUUGGGACCCGAAAGAUGGUGAACUAUGCCUGAAUAGGGUGAAGCCAGAAGGAAACUCUGGUGGAGGCUCGCAGCGGGUUCUGACGUGCAAAUCGAUCGU
RNAcentral lists this ribosomal RNA (764 nucleotides) under Hypogymnia madeirensis. RNAcentral describes it as "partial large subunit ribosomal RNA". It matches the Rfam family "Eukaryotic large subunit ribosomal RNA", at positions 127 to 905 of the family's 3401-position model. Lineage: Eukaryota; Fungi; Ascomycota; Lecanoromycetes; Lecanorales; Parmeliaceae. The record is from RNAcentral.